GUGUUUGCUUUGGCAGCACAUAUACUAAAAUGGAAACAAUACAGAGAAGAUUAGCAUGGCCCCUGAACAAGGAUGACAUGCAAAUUUGUAAAGUGUUCCACAUUUUU
Molecule: small nuclear RNA, 107 nt
Filed under: Tupaia belangeri (northern tree shrew)
Lineage: Eukaryota; Metazoa; Chordata; Mammalia; Scandentia; Tupaiidae
Source: RNAcentral